GCACCAGUGGUCUAGUGGUAGAAUAGUAUCCUGCCACGGUACAGACCUGGGUUUGAUUCCCCGCAUAAUCA
RNAcentral lists this transfer RNA (71 nucleotides) under Datura stramonium (jimsonweed). RNAcentral's name for it is "tRNA-Gly". The record is from RNAcentral. Lineage: Eukaryota; Viridiplantae; Streptophyta; Magnoliopsida; Solanales; Solanaceae.